UUUGCCCUUUAUUAUUGUGAUUUUGUGGACCUCUGACCUGGUGAGUAUCUCAUUACAGACAGCUGCUCGUUGCCAUCAGUCAGGUCUGACACCACUUCUUUGGUUUGCAGAUCCAGUACAACCCAUCUAAAAAGGUGCCAGGUCUGCGCUCCAGCGGAUGACCUUGCGGUCCUUGCCGCCACCGCUGAGUAUAGCUCCACCCUGCAGGACGCACAUAGCGAAAACACUGCCCUCAUGAGCACGCGUCUGCUUCAUGAUCUGAAAUGUCUCUGCAAGCAGGGAGAGAAGAAAAAAAGUGGCAAAGUGAAUUUGAAAAGAUGGACAGUAUCUGUAGUUUGUCAACAGCUGAUUUUCCCCAUGUGAGAAUGUUCCCCUCAGAGUCUCCCGUCAACACAUCACCCGUAAGACUGAACACGAAGCACAGGACGAACUUGGGCUUUUUGUAUUUCUGUUAAUGAAACAAUGAACAAAAUCACCAACCCUAACAAAUUCCAAACAAUUAAUAAAUUCAUAGUUAAAUACA
This is a long non-coding RNA of Cyprinus carpio (common carp), 523 nucleotides long. RefSeq lists it as uncharacterized. Lineage: Eukaryota; Metazoa; Chordata; Actinopteri; Cypriniformes; Cyprinidae. The record is from RefSeq and is a predicted model, not a curated record.